AACGAACGCUGGCGGCAUGCCUAACACAUGCAAGUCGAACGAGACCUUCGGGUCUAUUGUCGCACGGGUGCGUAACGCGUGGGAACCUGCCCUUAGGUUCGGAAUAACUCCCCGAAAGGGGUGCUAAUACCGGAUAAUGUCUUCGGACCAAAGAUUUAUCGCCUUUGGAUGGGCCCGCGUUGGAUUAGCUAGUUGGUAGGGUAAAAGCCUACCAAGGCGACGAUCCAUAGCUGGUCUGAGAGGAUGAUCAGCCACACUGGGACUGAGACACGGCCCAGACUCCUACGGGAGGCAGCAGUGGGGAAUAUUGGACAAUGGGCGAAAGCCUGAUCCAGCAAUGCCGCGUGAGUGAUGAAGGUCUUAGGGUUGUAAAGCUCUUUUAACCGGGAUGAUAAUGACAGUACCGGGAGAAUAAGCUCCGGCUAACUCCGUG
RNAcentral lists this ribosomal RNA (433 nucleotides) under uncultured bacterium. Its description in RNAcentral is "partial 16S ribosomal RNA". It matches the Rfam family "Bacterial small subunit ribosomal RNA", at positions 29 to 507 of the family's 1533-position model. The record is from RNAcentral.